RNAcentral lists this transfer RNA (98 nucleotides) under Pyrobaculum calidifontis JCM 11548. RNAcentral's name for it is "tRNA-Ser". It matches the Rfam family "tRNA". Rfam says of the family: Transfer RNA (tRNA) molecules are approximately 80 nucleotides in length. Their secondary structure includes four short double-helical elements and three loops (D, anti-codon, and T loops). Further hydrogen bonds mediate the characteristic L-shaped molecular structure. tRNAs have two regions of fundamental functional importance: the anti-codon, which is responsible for specific mRNA codon recognition, and the 3' end, to which the tRNAs corresponding amino acid is attached (by aminoacyl-tRNA synthetases). tRNAs cope with the degeneracy of the genetic code in two manners: having more than one tRNA (with a specific anti-codon) for a particular amino acid; and 'wobble' base-pairing, i.e. permitting non-standard base-pairing at the 3rd anti-codon position. The record is from RNAcentral. Lineage: Archaea; Thermoproteati; Thermoproteota; Thermoprotei; Thermoproteales; Thermoproteaceae.
GCCGGGGUGGCCGAGCGGCCCAAGGCGCGGGACUGGAGAUGUAUACGAGAUAUCCCGUCCCCGUUCAGGGGGCGUGGGUUCAAAUCCCACCCCCGGCG